UUGAGACUUCGGUGGAUUUGAUCUAUUUCUAGUGGCGGACGGGUGAGUAACGCGUGGGUAACCUGCCUUAUACAGGGGGAUAACAGUCAGAAAUGGCUGCUAAUACCGCAUAAGCGCACAGAGCUGCAUGGCUCAGUGUGAAAAACUCCGGUGGUAUAAGAUGGACCCGCGUUGGAUUAGCUAGUUGGUGGGGUAACGGCCCACCAAGGCGACGAUCCAUAGCCGGCCUGAGAGGGUGAACGGCCACAUUGGGACUGAGACACGGCCCAGACUCCUACGGGAGGCAGCAGUGGGGAAUAUUGCACAAUGGGGGAAACCCUGAUGCAGCGACGCCGCGUGAAGGAAGAAGUAUCUCGGUAUGUAAACUUCUAUCAGCAGGGAAGAUAGUGACGGUACCUGACUAAGAAGCCCCGGCUAACUACGUGCCAGCAGCCGCGGUAAUACGUAGGGGGCAAGCGUUAUCCGGAUUUACUGGGUGUAAAGGGAGCGUAGACGGUGUGGCAAGUCUGAUGUGAAAGGCAUGGGCUCAACCUGUGGACUGCAUUGGAAACUGUCAUACUUGAGUGCCGGAGGGGUAAGCGGAAUUCCUAGUGUAGCGGUGAAAUGCGUAGAUAUUAGGAGGAACACCAGUGGC
RNAcentral lists this ribosomal RNA (634 nucleotides) under uncultured Lachnospiraceae bacterium. RNAcentral describes it as "bacterial SSU rRNA". It matches the Rfam family "Bacterial small subunit ribosomal RNA", at positions 67 to 716 of the family's 1533-position model. Lineage: Bacteria; Bacillati; Bacillota; Clostridia; Lachnospirales; Lachnospiraceae. The record is from RNAcentral.